This 302-nucleotide ribosomal RNA is filed under the name uncultured Acaulospora. Its description in RNAcentral is "partial 18S ribosomal RNA". Lineage: Eukaryota; Fungi; Glomeromycota; Glomeromycetes; Diversisporales; Acaulosporaceae. The record is from RNAcentral.
CGUAAGGCGCCGAACGAGUCAUUAAAAAAUUAACAUCGUCCGAUCCCUAGUCGGCAUAGUUUAUGGUUAAGACUACGACGGUAUCUGAUCGUCUUCGAUCCCCUAACUUUCGUUCUUGAUUAAUGAAAACAUCCUUGGCAAAUGCUUUCGCAGAAGUUAGUCUUCAAUAAAAUCCAAGAAUUUCACCUCUGACAAUUGAAUACUAAUGCCCCCAACUAUCCCUAUUAAUCAUUACGGUGAUCCUAGAAACCAACAAAAUAGAACCAUGCCGUCCUAUUUAUUAUUCCAUGCUAAUGUAUUCA